Anolis carolinensis (green anole) is the source of this 125-nucleotide non-coding RNA. The record is from Rfam. NCBI's taxonomy places the organism in Eukaryota, Metazoa, Chordata, Lepidosauria, Squamata, Anolidae.
UGGAUUAGUAUUGCUUGCUUGUUUGUAUGCUGCACCCAUCCCAUCUGACCUGGGAUACCAAGCAGGGAUAGCCCGGGUUAGUGCUUGGAUGGGAGACUCUGAAUGAAUACCAGGUACUGCAGCCU